UGAUUGAACUCAAAGAAUAAAUAAAUCAAACUCAAAGAAUUAAUGAAUUAGACAUGUAAUAAACAUUUAACUUUUAUCACGUUAAGUGAUCUGUAUGUAUGAAAAAAAGGAAAAUGUGUAAAGAAAAACAUUUUGUUGAGUUAAUCUAAUAAUUUUUGAUAGGGCUGCGCCCAACUCUCUUCCUCUAAAAAAUAUUUUGCUUAGUCAAAUGAGGUCAGUAAUUGUUGUGUAAGCUUGGACAAGUGUUAGCAAAAAUGAUGUCUAAUUUGAGCUUAUAAUUAAGCCAACCAAUGACUGUGCAACUUAUAAUGAGUUUGAUUAUAACACCAUGUGAUAUAUAAUUUUUAUUUGGCUCAUGCUUUGCGGAAGCUAAAUGUAUGUAGGUUAUGAGAUCUCAUGAAUCAUUAAAAUUAUCUCCCAAAGGAAAAAAAGGGCUUGGAAAUCUCGUCUUUUUUGGCUGCAUGCACCAGAUACCGGACUCCUAUAUGGACUCUACUAAUGAGCUAAGAUCUUUAUCUGUGGAAGCAAGAUUACUAAUAGGAAGAGAGGCUGGAGUUAGAAGCAACGGCCAUGAAUUAACCAGUAAUAGAAUCUAAAAUAUCAUGUGAGACUUAGAACCUGCUUGUUAUAUAAAGGGACCUGGCUGGAGAUAAUUAGAAGAAAUCCCAUCAGCUGAGAAGUUC
RNAcentral lists this long non-coding RNA (683 nucleotides) under Phoenix dactylifera (date palm). Its description in RNAcentral is "long non-coding RNA (PDAC_LNC019497)". The record is from RNAcentral. Lineage: Eukaryota; Viridiplantae; Streptophyta; Magnoliopsida; Arecales; Arecaceae.